Molecule: ribosomal RNA, 244 nt
Filed under: uncultured bacterium
Lineage: Bacteria
Description: partial 16S ribosomal RNA
Rfam family: Bacterial small subunit ribosomal RNA
Source: RNAcentral
GCGAGGUUUAGCAAAUCUCUUAAAGCCGUUCUCAGUUCGGAUUGUAGGCUGCAACUCGCCUACAUGAAGUCGGAAUCGCUAGUAAUCGCGGAUCAGCAUGCCGCGGUGAAUACGUUCCCGGGCCUUGUACACACCGCCCGUCACACCAUGAGAGUUUGUAACACCCAAAGCCGGUGGGGUAACCUUUUGGAGCCAGCCGUCUAAGGUGGGACAGAUGAUUGGGGUGAAGUCGUAACAAGGUAGC